This 402-nucleotide unclassified non-coding RNA is filed under the name soil metagenome. Its description in RNAcentral is "partial contains 5.8S ribosomal RNA, internal transcribed spacer 2, and large subunit ribosomal RNA". The stretch from base 1 to 121 matches the Rfam family "5.8S ribosomal RNA", at positions 35 to 154 of the family's 154-position model. The record is from RNAcentral.
GAUGAAGAACGUAGCGAAAUGCGAUAAGUAAUGUGAAUUGCAGAAUUCAGUGAAUCAUCGAAUCUUUGAACGCACCUUGCACCCUUUGGCUAUUCCGAAGGGUAUGCCUGUUUGAGUAUCAUGAACACCUCAACUCUCAUGGUUUGCCAUGAUGAGCUUGGACUUUGGGGGUCUUGCUGGCCUGUGGUCAGCUCCUCUCAAAUGGAUUAGCUUGCCAGUGUUUGGUGGCAUCACAGGUGUGAUAACUAUCUAUGCUUGUGGUUUUCCACCAGGUAACCUUCAGCAAUGGGGGUUCGCUGGGGCUCAUAAAUGUCUCUCCUCAGCGAGGACAGCUCUUUGAACGUUUGAUCUCAAAUCAGGUAGGACUACCCGCUGAACUUAAGCAUAUCAAUAAGCGGAGGA